Non-coding RNA from Musa acuminata subsp. malaccensis (wild Malaysian banana), 75 nucleotides. Lineage: Eukaryota; Viridiplantae; Streptophyta; Magnoliopsida; Zingiberales; Musaceae. The record is from Rfam.
GAGGCAUGAUGAGGAACCUCUUUUGCGUCUGAGAAUUCAUUCUCUGAGCGAAGUAAAACCUCCUACUCAUUCUGA